GGCCUCCUUUGACUUACCACAGACAGUGCUUUCUUUCAGCGCUGACUGUAUAGAAAUGGGAGGUAAAGUACAAUUCCCUGUUACACCACAGCCGUGCUCCUUCUGUGGCUCAGGUUGUAUUGUUGACAGGGAGACACCU
Rhincodon typus (whale shark) is the source of this 139-nucleotide small nucleolar RNA. RefSeq annotates it as small nucleolar RNA SNORA51. NCBI's taxonomy places the organism in Eukaryota, Metazoa, Chordata, Chondrichthyes, Orectolobiformes, Rhincodontidae. The transcript has a single exon. The record is from RefSeq and is a predicted model, not a curated record.